Molecule: transfer RNA, 83 nt
Filed under: Spirochaetaceae bacterium
Lineage: Bacteria; Pseudomonadati; Spirochaetota; Spirochaetia; Spirochaetales; Spirochaetaceae
Description: tRNA-Leu
Rfam family: tRNA
About the family: Transfer RNA (tRNA) molecules are approximately 80 nucleotides in length.
Source: RNAcentral
GCCGGGGUGGUGGAAUGGUAGACACCGGGGACUUAAAAUCCCCUGGUCGCAAGGCCGUGUGAGUUCAAAUCUCAUCCCCGGCA